RNAcentral lists this ribosomal RNA (1185 nucleotides) under Klebsiella sp. Its description in RNAcentral is "bacterial SSU rRNA". It matches the Rfam family "Bacterial small subunit ribosomal RNA", at positions 32 to 1205 of the family's 1533-position model. The record is from RNAcentral. Lineage: Bacteria; Pseudomonadati; Pseudomonadota; Gammaproteobacteria; Enterobacterales; Enterobacteriaceae.
GGCCAUUGCCGCCAGCUAACACAUGCAGUCGAGCGGUAGCACAGAGAGCUUGCUCUCGGGUGACGAGCGGCGGACGGGUGAGUAAUGUCUGGGAAACUGCCUGAUGGAGGGGGAUAACUACUGGAAACGGUAGCUAAUACCGCAUAACGUCGCAAGACCAAAGUGGGGGACCUUCGGGCCUCAUGCCAUCAGAUGUGCCCAGAUGGGAUUAGCUAGUAGGUGGGGUAACGGCUCACCUAGGCGACGAUCCCUAGCUGGUCUGAGAGGAUGACCAGCCACACUGGAACUGAGACACGGUCCAGACUCCUACGGGAGGCAGCAGUGGGGAAUAUUGCACAAUGGGCGCAAGCCUGAUGCAGCCAUGCCGCGUGUGUGAAGAAGGCCUUCGGGUUGUAAAGUACUUUCAGCGGGGAGGAAGGCGAUAAGGUUAAUAACCUUGUCGAUUGACGUUACCCGCAGAAGAAGCACCGGCUAACUCCGUGCCAGCAGCCGCGGUAAUACGGAGGGUGCAAGCGUUAAUCGGAAUUACUGGGCGUAAAGCGCACGCAGGCGGUCUGUCAAGUCGGAUGUGAAAUCCCCGGGCUCAACCUGGGAACUGCAUUCGAAACUGGCAGGCUAGAGUCUUGUAGAGGGGGGUAGAAUUCCAGGUGUAGCGGUGAAAUGCGUAGAGAUCUGGAGGAAUACCGGUGGCGAAGGCGGCCCCCUGGACAAAGACUGACGCUCAGGUGCGAAAGCGUGGGGAGCAAACAGGAUUAGAUACCCUGGUAGUCCACGCCGUAAACGAUGUCGAUUUGGAGGUUGUGCCCUUGAGGCGUGGCUUCCGGAGCUAACGCGUUAAAUCGACCGCCUGGGGAGUACGGCCGCAAGGUUAAAACUCAAAUGAAUUGACGGGGGCCCGCACAAGCGGUGGAGCAUGUGGUUUAAUUCGAUGCAACGCGGAGAACCUUACCUGGUCUUGACAUCCACAGAACUUGCCAAAGAUGGCUUGGUGCCUUCGGGAACUGUGAGACAGGUGCUGCAUGGCUGUCUUCAGCUCUGGUUGUGAAAUGUUGGGUUAAGUCCCCCCACCAAGCCCACCCCUUAUCCUUUGUUGCCCGGUGUUCUGGCGGGGAACUCAAAGGACACUGCCAGUGAUAAACUCGGAGGAAUGUGGGGUAUGAAGGUAAAGUUAUAUUGGGGCCUUAG